ACACCUCAACUCUCAUGGCUUGCCAUGAUGAGCUUGGACUUGGGGGUUUUGCUGGCCUACAGUCAGCUCCCCUCAAAUGCAUCAGCUUUCCAGUGUUUGGUGGCACCACAGGUGUGAUAAACAUCUACACGUGUGGUUCCCCACCAUGUAACCUUCAGUGAUGGAGGUUUGCUGGAGCUCACAAAUGUCUUUCCUCAGUGAAGACAGUUCUUUGAUU
RNAcentral lists this unclassified non-coding RNA (217 nucleotides) under uncultured Thelephoraceae. RNAcentral describes it as "sequence contains ITS2". The record is from RNAcentral. Lineage: Eukaryota; Fungi; Basidiomycota; Agaricomycetes; Thelephorales; Thelephoraceae.